GAUGAACGCUGGCGGCGUGCCUAAUACAUGCAAGUCGAGCGAACAGACGAGGAGCUUGCUCCUCUGACGUUAGCGGCGGACGGGUGAGUAACACGUGGAUAACCUACCUAUAAGACUGGGAUAACUUCGGGAAACCGGAGCUAAUACCGGAUAAUAUAUUGAACCGCAUGGUUCAAUAGUGAAAGCCGGUUUUGCUGUCACUUAUAGAUGGAUCCGCGCUGCAUUAGCUAGUUGGUAAGGUAACGGCUUACCAAGGCAACGAUGCGUAGCCGACCUGAGAGGGUGAUCGGCCACACUGGAACUGAGACACGGUCCAGACUCCUACGGGAGGCAGCAGUAGGGAAUCUUCCGCAAUGGGCGAAAGCCUGACGGAGCAACGCCGCGUGAGUGAUGAAGGUCUUCGGAUCGUAAAACUCUGUUAUUAGGGAAGAACAAAUGUGUAAGUAACUAUGCACGUCUUGACGGUACCUAAUCAGAAAGCCACGGCUAACUACGUG
Molecule: ribosomal RNA, 497 nt
Filed under: uncultured bacterium
Lineage: Bacteria
Description: partial 16S ribosomal RNA
Rfam family: Bacterial small subunit ribosomal RNA
Source: RNAcentral